This 253-nucleotide ribosomal RNA is filed under the name uncultured bacterium. Its description in RNAcentral is "partial 16S ribosomal RNA". It matches the Rfam family "Bacterial small subunit ribosomal RNA", at positions 524 to 776 of the family's 1533-position model. The record is from RNAcentral.
UACGUAGGGUGCGAGCGUUGUCCGGAAUUAUUGGGCGUAAAGGGCUCGUAGGCGGGUUGUCGCGUCGGGGGUGAAAACUCAGGGCUUAACCCUGAGCCUGCUUCCGAUACGGGCAGACUAGAGGUAUGCAGGGGAGAACGGAAUUCCUGGUGUAGCGGUGAAAUGCGCAGAUAUCAGGAGGAACACCGGUGGCGAAGGCGGUUCUCUGGGCAUUACCUGACGCUGAGGAGCGAAAGUGUGGGGAGCGAACAGG